AUGGGCGCAGUCCUGAUGCAGCCACUGCCGCGUGUGUGAAGAAGGCCUUCGGGUUGUAAAGCACUUUCGGCGGGGAGGAAGGUGUUGUGGUUAAUAACCUCGGCAAUUGACGUUACCCGGACAAGAAGCCCCGGCUAACUCCGUGCCCACAGCCCCGGUAAUACGG
This 166-nucleotide ribosomal RNA is filed under the name Enterobacter sp. RNAcentral's name for it is "partial 16S ribosomal RNA". It matches the Rfam family "Bacterial small subunit ribosomal RNA", at positions 371 to 528 of the family's 1533-position model. The record is from RNAcentral. Lineage: Bacteria; Pseudomonadati; Pseudomonadota; Gammaproteobacteria; Enterobacterales; Enterobacteriaceae.